Molecule: ribosomal RNA, 62 nt
Filed under: Terribacillus aidingensis
Lineage: Bacteria; Bacillati; Bacillota; Bacilli; Caryophanales; Bacillaceae
Description: partial 23S rRNA. Bacterial LSU
Source: RNAcentral
CGAGGUGGAAGCGUGGUGACACGUGCAGCUGACGAAUACUAAUCGAUCGAGGACUUAACUAA